RNAcentral lists this ribosomal RNA (253 nucleotides) under uncultured bacterium. RNAcentral describes it as "partial 16S ribosomal RNA". It matches the Rfam family "Bacterial small subunit ribosomal RNA", at positions 524 to 776 of the family's 1533-position model. The record is from RNAcentral.
GACAGAGGGUGCAAACGUUGCUCGGAAUUACUGGGCGUAAAGCGCGUGUAGGCUGACCUUCAAGUCGGACGUGAAAUCCCUGAGCUCAACUCAGGAACUGCAUCCGAAACUGAAGGCCUAGAGUAGUGGAGAGGGAAGCAGAAUUCCUGGUGUAGAGGUGAAAUUCGUAGAUAUUGGCUGGAACACCGGUGGCGAAAGCGGCUCUCUGGCCCGGUUCUGACGCUGAGGCGCGAAAGCGUGGGGAGCGAACAGG